This 349-nucleotide unclassified non-coding RNA is filed under the name soil metagenome. RNAcentral's name for it is "partial contains 5.8S ribosomal RNA, internal transcribed spacer 2, and large subunit ribosomal RNA". The stretch from base 1 to 119 matches the Rfam family "5.8S ribosomal RNA", at positions 35 to 154 of the family's 154-position model. The record is from RNAcentral.
GAUGAAGAACGUAGCGAAAUGCGAUAAGUAAUGCGAAUUGCAGAAUCCGUGAGUCAUCGAAUCUUUGAACGCACAUUGCGCCCUUUGGUAUUCCGGAGGGCAUGCCUGUUCGAGCGUCAUUAUCACCCCUCAAGCCCGGCUUGUUGUUGGAUGCAGCGCUUAUCCCGCUCCUCCCAAAGAUAAUGACGGCGUCUGCGACGACUCCUGUACACUGAGCUUUCGGGCACGUACACGGCUAGAAGUCCAGACCCGGUCGCCGUCCCCCCCGCGGGGACACCCAUUACCACAAGGUUGACCUCGGAUCAGGUAGGAAUACCCGCUGAACUUAAGCAUAUCAAUAAGCGGAGGA